CGGGUGCAGGACGCAUUCUGUUCUUCCGUUUGACCUGUGGCUUUGGAAGUUGAGACCCUCCCAUCUCUAGGGCAUCAGGUUCGUAAAGGAGCAUUGGAAACGCAGAAGAUAGUCACAUCUUUCAAAAUGAAAGAUGUGCUGAGUGACAAGGCCAAGUGCAUGUCUUCUACUUGGAAGAUUACACAAAUAUUUUCCAAUUUUCCAAUAUUUUUUCUGUAUUGGACAGCAGAAUCUGUUUGCUUCAGAACACUUCUCAAGCUUAACUUAAGGAAUUAUAAUUGAGGGCCACAUUAUAUUAAUAAGUCACAUAAGAAAACCAUUUCUUUCCCCUGGGUAAGAGUUCCCUAAAGUAUAGGUACAGCCGACCUUCUCGGUACUGAAAGCAGGAAGGAAGCCCACCGUGGACACAGAGGAUGGCAGUAAAGACAGCCGUGUGGGACUUCCCUGGCGAUCCAGCAGCUGAGAUCGCCAGCUCCCGAGGCAGGGGUCUGGGCUUGGUCCUGGGUCAGGGAACUACAUCCUGCAUGCCACAGUGAAAGAUUCCACGCGUCAAAACGAAGACCUGGGGCAGUCAAAUAAAUAAAUAUUAAAAAAAAAAAAAAGAAGAAGAAGAAGCAAAGAAUGAAAUUCUUAAGGAAAAAACAGAAGGAAGAAAUCUGUGGGCCGAUCCAGGCAGGCCUCUGUGACUUAGGGAAUAGAAUCACAACCUGGAAGAGCAAACGGGGUGGGCCUGGUGAUGAGAGCGCUUUAGGGUCAUAGGUCGAUGGCAACACUUAAGAAAUGGUCGCUUAGCCUCAUCCUUGGAGCCAAGACAGAAGAGGCCCUUCUCCCCUUGCUACAGCAGCCCCCGCCUUCCCAGCCUCAGUCCCCGAGUCUUGUUUCUGUGGACAAUGAAAGCAAACCCCAAGGAGAACAAAGCCCCACAUGUGUUCCAGGAGAUUUUGUUUAUGAAGGGUCGGAUAUCUGGUUGAAGCAUGAGAUUAAAAAAAAAGGGAAUAAAGAAAUGGGAAGGCAGAAAAUACAGAUCCAUGUGUUUCCUGAAAGAUGUUAUUUCUUUUAUGUAAAUAAUUAUGUUUUUAAAAUUCUAGAGGAUGAGGUGGUUGGAUGACAUCACUUACUAGAUGGACAUGAACUUGGGCAAACUUCAGGAGGUGGUCAGGGACAGGGAAGCCUGGCGUGCUGCUGCCCAUGGGGUCGUGAAGAGGAGGACCCAACUUGGCGACUGAACAUCAACAACAAUUCUAGAAUCUAUGUUCUCUUCCUUCUCCUCCUCCCAAGAGCACAAAGUCUGAAGGACCCGUGCGUGGAGCAGCCCACAGGAAGCGCUUUCCCUCCACGCUGCAUCUCGGCCCCUGGGAUGGGAGUGUGCCCCAGCACGGUCUUCUGAGGUCCCCACUCCUGCACUGACUCCCACCUCCCCCCAGGCUCUGGGCUCCCUACUCUUCACUGCUCUUGGUUCCCUUCUGCCCUCCUGGACCGGAUUACAGAGGUCAAAGCCCAGGGGGUUUAAACGGAUAGUACAGAUUCUCUGAUUUUGUUACCAUUUUAUGCUGGGAUUUUGUAUACAAGGAGCUUUGGCGAGAUUCUCCAGUCCUCCAGGAUUCUUCUCUUUGGAGAGAAAUCUCAGCCCCACAAAGGGAUGGACGCAUCAGAGGAGACAGUGCCCAGAGCUUGUGCAGUGCGGGCCUGAGCAUCACAGCAGCUCCUUUGAAGGAUCGCUCCUCCUUCAGGAAACUCAGACGAGUGUCACGAGCUCCUGACCCUUCCUGACCUGAAAGUUGACCCCUGUAACUUCUCUGCAGCCCACAAAACCGGGGUGACCCCCUUGGAGAUCCUUCUCAUCUCCUUUUUGCCUUUUCAAACAUCCUCAUUCUCAGCUGUUCUUCCUAGGAUAUGAUUCUUCUCUCCAAGUAGGUUCCAGUCUAUUUUUACCAACAAAGCAAAUAUUUUAAAACUACCAUUUUGAUGGAUCUGUUAAAGUUCAUAUAUGUCAAUUGUUAAGCUGUACACCUUAACCAUGUACAACUUUUAAUCAUCAAUGAUACUUCGCAAUCCAGGAAAAAUUUUAUAUUUAUAAAAACAUAUAUAUAUAUAUAUAACAUUUUAUAUGUUUAUAUGUAAUAACUUUCUAUUCUGUAGCUUACUUUUAAAAAAAACUUAUGCUUCCUUUUUUAAAAUGCUCUUAAGACAUAUUUUAAAUGAUUCUAAUUAAUGAUGGUUCUAGAGAAGGAAACCUUUCUACAACUGUUGGUGGGAAUGUAAAUUGGUGCAGUCAUAAUGGAGAACAGUAUGAAGAUUUCUUAAAAAACUAAAAAUAGGGUUCUGAUAUGAUCUAUCAAUCUUAAUUCUGGACAUAUACUCAGGAAAGAUGAAGACUCUAAUUUGAAAAGACAUGUGCACCCCAGUGUCCAUAUCUGCACUGUUUAUAAUGGCCAAGACAUGGAAGCAACGAGAGUGCCCAACAACAGGUGAAUGAUAAAGAAAAUGUGGUGCAUGUAUACAAUGGCAUACUACUCAGUCAUAAAAAAGAAUGAAACCAUGUCAUCUGUAACAACAUGGAUGGGUGGAUGUAGAGAUUCUCAUGCUAAGUGAAGUAAAUCAGAGAGGUCAUGUAUCCUGUAUGUCACUGAUAUGUGGAAUCUGAAAGAAAUGAUACAAAUGAGCUUAUUUACAGAACAAAUAGCCGCACAGACAUAGAAAUCAAACUCACGGUU
This is a long non-coding RNA of Dama dama (fallow deer), 2714 nucleotides long. RefSeq lists it as uncharacterized. Lineage: Eukaryota; Metazoa; Chordata; Mammalia; Artiodactyla; Cervidae. The transcript has 3 exons. The record is from RefSeq and is a predicted model, not a curated record.